This 253-nucleotide ribosomal RNA is filed under the name uncultured bacterium. RNAcentral describes it as "partial 16S ribosomal RNA". It matches the Rfam family "Bacterial small subunit ribosomal RNA", at positions 524 to 776 of the family's 1533-position model. The record is from RNAcentral.
UACGUAGGGGGCCAGCGUUGUCCGAAGUUACUGGGCGUAAAGAGCGCGUAGGCGGGCCCUUAAGUGGGGGGUGAAAUCCCGAGGCUCAACCUCGGGACUGCCUCUCAUACUGGGGGCCUUGAGUGCGGGAGAGGCGAGUGGAAUGGUCGGUGUAGCGGUGAAAUGCGUAGAUAUCGAUCGGAACACCCAUGGCGAAGGCAGCUCGCUGGCCUGCAACUGACGCUGAGGCGCGAAAGCCGGGGGAGCGAACAGG